ACUCAAAGGAAUUGACGGGGACCCGCACAAGCGGUGGAGCAUGUGGAUUAAUUCGAUACUAACCGAAGAACCUUACCCAGACUUGACAUCGAUGGCAAAUCCUAGAAAUAGGAUCCUCGGCCACAAGCCGACCUGAAGACACCUGUUGCAUGGCUGUCGUCAGCUCGUGCCGUGAGGUGUUUGGUUAAGUCCAGCAACGAGCGCAACCCUCAUCUCGUGUUACCAGCAAGUAAAGUUGGGGACUCACGAGAAACCGCCGGCGUAAGCCGGAGGAAGGUGAGGAUGACGUCAAGUCAGCAUGGCGGUUACGUCUGGGGCUUCACACAUGCUACAAUGGGCGCAACAAAGGGCAGCAAUAUCGCGAGAUGGAGCUAAUCCCAAAAAUACGCCCCCAGUUCAGAUUGCAGUCUGCAACUCGACUGCAUGAAGGCGGAAUCGCUAGUAACCGCAGGUCAGCUAUACUGCGGUGAAUACGUUCCCGGGUCUUGUACACACCGCCCGU
This 502-nucleotide ribosomal RNA is filed under the name uncultured bacterium. RNAcentral's name for it is "partial 16S ribosomal RNA". It matches the Rfam family "Bacterial small subunit ribosomal RNA", at positions 899 to 1397 of the family's 1533-position model. The record is from RNAcentral.